Protopterus annectens (West African lungfish) is the source of this 263-nucleotide long non-coding RNA. RefSeq lists it as uncharacterized. The record is from RefSeq and is a predicted model, not a curated record. NCBI's taxonomy places the organism in Eukaryota, Metazoa, Chordata, Ceratodontiformes, Protopteridae. The transcript is spliced from 3 exons.
UUAUCUUGCAGGUAAUAAGACUGACAAGAAAGCAUCUUCUAAGCAGAUUCCAAAGGAUCAACCGAAAAAAGAUGACCAGAAAGCAAAUGAGAACAAAAAGCAAGGAGGACAGCCAAAGGGAGAGAAGCAGUAAUUUUCAAACCAUUGUGAAGAUGGCCCUGGAAACAGUGUUUGGGUCUUGCAGGUACAAACGUGGCAGCAAACAAACCUGACAAGAACUGUAAUCAGCCAUCCACAAUACCACGGGUACAUUUUGGAGAUGC